UCUCUCGUAGCAUAGUGGUCGAAGCAUUGGUGCGUAAAGCCAAAGGUCCCGGGUUCGAUUCCCGGCGGGGGUG
RNAcentral lists this transfer RNA (73 nucleotides) under Agrilus planipennis (emerald ash borer). It matches the Rfam family "tRNA". From Rfam's summary of the family: Transfer RNA (tRNA) molecules are approximately 80 nucleotides in length. Their secondary structure includes four short double-helical elements and three loops (D, anti-codon, and T loops). Lineage: Eukaryota; Metazoa; Arthropoda; Insecta; Coleoptera; Buprestidae. The record is from Rfam by way of RNAcentral.